RNAcentral lists this ribosomal RNA (311 nucleotides) under uncultured bacterium. RNAcentral describes it as "bacterial SSU rRNA". It matches the Rfam family "Bacterial small subunit ribosomal RNA", at positions 28 to 334 of the family's 1533-position model. The record is from RNAcentral.
GACGAACGCUGGCGGCGCGCCUAACACAUGCAAGUCGAACGAGCGAGAGAGAGCUUGCUUUCUCGAGCGAGUGGCGAACGGGUGAGUAACGCGUGAGGAACCUGCCUCAAAGAGGGGGACAACAGUUGGAAACGACUGCUAAUACCGCAUAAGCCCACGACCCGGCAUCGGGUUGAGGGAAAAGGAGCAAUCCGCUUUGAGAUGGCCUCGCGUCCGAUUAGCUAGUUGGUGAGGUAACGGCCCACCAAGGCGAAGAUGUGUAGCCGACCUGAGAGGGUGAACGGCCACAAUGGAACUGAGACACGGUCCAU